GUAAAUUAUUUGGGAUUAAACAGCAUUUGUUUAAAGGGAACUAAAAGAAAACAGUAGUUUCACACUUUCACUAGUUAUGAGCCUGUGACUAGAGAAGUAGUUGAAAAGAUGGAGAUUAAUUCUUAGUGUUUUUAUGUGUUUGAUUUUAGAAAAAACAUGUUGAAAGCAAUCUUUUUCUUUUGGGGUUGUCCAUGGUUCCUUUGAAAGAAGAGAUAAGUUUAGUAAUUUCAUCUGUUACCAACAAUCUAGAAGAAUUGAUUUUCAAUAAUUGGAAUAUGCAAAAUAUAUCUUUCUUUGUGGUUUCUAAUUGAAAUUAUUGGUUGUGUUCUUAGUCCAAUAUAAGAUAGAUUAUUUGUUUUUGCUAAGUUAGAAUUUUUACAUAAGUAAUUUGAAAACUUGAUUCCUUUUUUAAGGAACAACUUCCCUGGCAAAGCUCAAGGUGUGAAAUUUGCUGGCAAGGUACUCUGGCUAAAGCUGCGCCUGCUAAAGCGGUAUGAAUGAUGCAUCUGCCUUAAUUGCUAUUUUUUUUACCUAUUUUUAUUUAUAUUAUAUGACUUUUGUCUCUUCUUUAAUUUGUUCAGUUUACUUUUUGGAUGGCAAACAUUAAUAUUUAACUAAGUUUAUAUGUAUUUAACUAAUUUUGUUCUUCCUUUUCCUUCCAUAACUAACUUCUGUAUAUUUGGUUUUGAGUUUCCUUUAAAAAUAAGUUUCAUUCCACAUAUAAAUAUUGAAGACUCAAGGGCACCUAGAUAACGCAAUUGGUUAAAGUCAUGUAUUACAUGCAAUAUUUUGUGAAUAUGCAGCAAUAAUACUAAUAAUAGUUCAUAAAUUAUUUGCUUUAAUUUUCUUUUUCUUAUGUUAUACAUGCAUGAUGAAUGUAGCUUUCCAAUUUUUAGUUUGCAUUGCGAUUUCUAUGAACUCGGUAUAUACCACUGCUGCAGUUCUAUGUUAUGGUUUGUUGGCAGUUUUUUAGUUAUUGAACCAUGCUCUUGACUAUUUUCUAUAACUAUAACAACUUGAAAAUUAUAUAGAUUUCCUUUUCCCCAUUUUGAAAAGUAAACAUUUUUUAGUUAACUAAUUGAAAUUUGAAAAAAAGGUCACUAUGUGUAAAACAAACAUUUUUUGGUUAACUAAUUGAUUGUUAGCAUUAUAUUAGAGAAGAGAUCAUGAACUUGAAUUUUAUAGUAAUUCCAUUAGCCUGUGUGUUAGAGUUCAAUCGCAUCUUUUUGCCCUUGAUAUGAUGAACUUGGAUGUAGCUGCUCAAUUGCAGUUUAGAAGUACAAAGAAGGCGGCAGAGUAAUAAGAGAUGUAUUCAUCCUAAUUUUGUGUUAUUGCUGAAAGUUUUAAAUUGCUCUCUCUUGCCUUUUGUGUUGUUCCUCUCCCUCUGAUUUGAACUUUUAUGUGUAUUCAAUUGUCAUGAUUUUAUUUUCAGCUUAGAUGAUAUUGCUUAAGAUAUUCACCAUUCAAUUUGUGCCAUUGAUCCUUGGAGAUGAUGUAGUUGUUGUGCUACUAAUAAUCUCAUUUUUAAUUAUUAUAUUAUUCUUCUCGCAAAACGAGAGUCUCUGGGCACAUGGAGGGGAAGCUGUAAUAAGAACAGCAGGAAGCUCUAGGAAAUAUCAUCGAACUCAUUGGAUUGGUAUCUGGAUUUGAUGAGGGUUGAAAUUGAAGUAGGUUCAAAAAAGCUAUAAUACCGGACUAGUAAAGGUUGCCAUUAGUCGGGAAUGAGCGAGAAGAGAAAGUAGAAAGCCUAGAAGUCAAAGCUUUCUUCCUAUUAUCAAGGAAUCUGCUUUUCAAGUCAAUUGAGCACGCAAGAAGCUAUCCAGAGUAGAGUUAGGGGGAGGCGAAGUUAGUCCAGUUACAGGUUACAGGUAAGCUCAUGAAUGCCUUAUUAGAGGGAAUAUCUCUUUCAAGCUUUCAAGUGAGUGAAGUUAGAUGGGGGUAUAAUCAAAUUUUGAUCGCUCCAGCAAAAGGGUUUUUUAGUUGUAAAUAGCAAAAAACGUCAUUCAAAUGCUCCUUUGGCCUUACCGUGUUACUAUUCGGAGAUCCUAUUCCUAGGGCAUUGGAUGGGCAUCAGAGCCAUCGAUCAACUUUGGCUGAAACAGGCCUACCCGCCAAUCUUAUUAGGUUAGGCCCCUGCAUCCAAUUUAUGGCGCUCUAUCAGCAAGGGAGGGAGCCAAGGUAGUGGUAUUUGCCUUUGCUGCUCUUAGUGAGAAAGGAGCUCUGCCAUCUCUAUCAGCUAGUUAGCUAGCUGCUCUUUUCCUAGUCUUAGCGAGUCUCAUUUUCCUUCGGCUUCUGGCUUUCGGACUAGUAGCUAAGCCUCCUGCCUUUUUAGGCUUUUUAGGUGAGGCAAGCAGGGAGAGAAACGGACAAGGGUUUAGACUCUCUAUUUCCUUUAGCUGGAAAUAGAGGACCUUGAGAUGGUCUUAGAGAAGAGCGAGUUCUAAUGUAUCUAUGCUUUAUAUUGAUAAUAGCAGUCUUAGUCUUCCAGGAGUAGCUCUCCCCAUUCGAGAAUCCUAACUUAAGAUCUACUGGAUGGAGGCUUUAUUGCCAGUAAUGGUAGAUGCAAAAGCGGAAAAGUCAUUGCACAGGGUAUAGUCUCCCUUAAUCCAGGAGAUACUAUAUUAUGUAAGUGAGUUGACCUCCCCACCUGGAGUUUCCCGCCAACUGUAUCACAGCCAGACAUGACGGAUAAACUUGAUCAAUCGUGCUAUGCUAUUGUUUCAGAAAUUACAUAAGAGGCAAGUCAGAAAAGGCAAGAAGCCCCGAGUGAGGCCAAUCAAGUGACACCCUCAGCUGAAUUGGCUAGGCAUUAUCGUUUUUUGACUGGAAUCAUGGUGCAAGUUCUUCCUAUAACUGAUAGAUGCAAUUGAGAAUGAAUCAGAUCAAAUCUCCCUAAAGUACUCUUGAGAAAACACAGGAAGUUUAAAAGAGAUGGUUGUGCUUUUAAGGUUUAUGACAUUUGUGUAGACAAAGGUGAUCGGAAGUAUAAAUAGUUGUUGGAGUGCACACAUAUAAAGGAAAAAAAGACUUACAACAAUAGCUGAUGGUGUGAAAGUGUACAACUAUGAUGUCUAUUUUUACAAGUUGGAAUCAAAGUUGUUAUUGAUUUUUCACUAAAA
Non-coding RNA from Arachis ipaensis, 3119 nucleotides. NCBI's taxonomy places the organism in Eukaryota, Viridiplantae, Streptophyta, Magnoliopsida, Fabales, Fabaceae. The record is from RefSeq and is a predicted model, not a curated record.